RNAcentral lists this long non-coding RNA (323 nucleotides) under Homo sapiens (human). RNAcentral describes it as "LHRI_LNC46.1". Lineage: Eukaryota; Metazoa; Chordata; Mammalia; Primates; Hominidae. The record is from RNAcentral.
GAAUAAUUACAGUUUGCUCUUUGAUGAGGAUACAACUCCUGGGACUCUCUGUGGUAGAACCCAAAUGGACAGAAGUAAUAAUAACAUUGUAGAAGAAAGCAGUUGGAACAGACACUGAUGGGUUUGGAGGUUUUGAUGUCUUUCUUCAAUCCCAUUCCAUUUAGAUUUUUGGGAAGGUGAAGCAGCAUAAUGGGACAAGUGGAGCAUUAUUCUUGUACUUAAGAAAUUUGGUGUUGAAUUCUAAUUGUGCCAGAAUUGCCUUGGGUUUUAUUAGACCUCUUGAAAGCUAAAUUUGCUCGUCUCCAUGAUGCUUUCUGUCUCUU